CGCUGCACAGCCAACCAUGCUCUGGGGUGGACCAACGCACUUGUGGUUCACACCGCCGACGACUUUUGGACAAUAUCAUUCAGAGAACCCACACCAAAUAUCCGCUGGAAUCCCAUCUGCCGCUUGUGAUGAUGUCAUCACAUGACCCACACGGUGGCUGUCCAUUGGCUCUUGUCAUUCUGCUUCUCGUGUCCAUGGAUCCUACAGCCACUGAGGUGGUGAGAUCAGUCAGCGACUGUGCUAAAUUCUUCCUGGAAGGAACCCCACCAGAAAUACCAGGAGUCCUGCAGCACGGAACCAUUCAGGACCAGAAUCGUUACAAGCCCAUUUGCCAAACAUUCUAUAAUACCAGGAGGUUCAUGACGCUCUAUGACACAGAUAAGAAGAUCCCAGUGUUUUCUGCAUAUAGAUACACAGGACACACAGUGGACAGACCCAGUGCCAUAUGGAAGGGGGAGCCACAGCUUGAAAAUGCAACGAGUACAGAAGUGAACAUGAGAAAAAUGAAGAAACCAACACACCAGGCUUCCCUAAUAGACUACAGGAGUGAAACUUAUAAUAAAGGGCAUUUGUUUCCAAGUUCUCAUGCAAGCGACAAAGUUGUUCAGAAAUCCACGUUCACCAUGACCAAUGCAGUGCCACAAGAUAAAGCAUUCAAUGUCGGGAGCUGGGGCAGAAUGGAGGAAAACGUAAAAGAUCGGAUGGAUGAAUUAUGCUACAACCAAAACAACCAAAGUGAAGCAUUUGUUGUGACAGGAGCGAUUCCCAGUACUAACACACCACCACUCAACAACAAGGUCAAUAUACCAACAAUUCUCUGGACAGCAUUUUGUUGCUAUAACAAAGUUAGUGGAAAAUGGUUAGCAUAUGCACACUGGGGUGACAACAAUGCAAAUACACCUUGGCUGGAGACCAAAACCUUGGCAGAACUGAAUACUGCUCAUAGAGUUGAGCCGUUUCCAAAUGACAAUUGCCGUGGAGCUAGUCAGUCUUAAACACAACCUUACAAUGGAAAUUGCGCUCUCCAUGUUAAUGAUUAAGCCUUUACUUUUCAUUUGUUUUUUCAAUAUUUCUUAUAAUAUCAGUCAAUCCGUAUAACUUGAUCCCAGAAUAAAGAUAGUACCUAAUAGUCCCAGAUGAGAACUUUGAAAAUCUACUAUGUGCUAGCAAAGUCUUUCCUGCUACCUGAACCUCAACAUGCUAACUCUGGUGCCAAAGUAAUCUGUGUAACAACACCCUAUAUGGGCUUUUCUUUAAAGAUAUAUUUCCUGGUUGUUAUACUGGAUAGUACGUCUUGCUAUUUGAUGGCUCUAACAAGUCAUCUUCUUGCUCUCGCUGAAUGAAUAAUCUAAUCUGUUCUGGUUCUUCUUUAUGAUAUAAAUAAAGCAACCGAUACUGAG
Gadus morhua (Atlantic cod) is the source of this 1400-nucleotide long non-coding RNA. RefSeq lists it as uncharacterized. NCBI's taxonomy places the organism in Eukaryota, Metazoa, Chordata, Actinopteri, Gadiformes, Gadidae. The record is from RefSeq and is a predicted model, not a curated record. The transcript is spliced from 4 exons.